This 254-nucleotide ribosomal RNA is filed under the name uncultured bacterium. RNAcentral describes it as "partial 16S ribosomal RNA". It matches the Rfam family "Bacterial small subunit ribosomal RNA", at positions 524 to 777 of the family's 1533-position model. The record is from RNAcentral.
UACGGGGGGGGCAAGCGUUGUUCGGAAUUACUGGGCGUAAAGGGCUCGUAGGCGGCCAACUAAGUCGGACGUGAAAUCCCCAGGCUCAACCUGGGAACUGCGUCCGAUACUGGAUGGCUUGAAUUCGGGAGAGGGAUGCAGAAUUCCAGGUGUAGCGGUGAAAUGCGUAGAUAUCUGGAGGAAUACCGGUGGCGAAGGCGGCAUCCUGGACCGACAUUGACGCUGAUGAGCGAAAGCUAGGGGAGCAAACGGGG